AUAACAGUUAGAAAUGACUGCUAAUGCCGCAUAAGCGCACAGGGCCGCAUGGCCCGGUGUGAAAAACUCCGGUGGUAUGAGAUGGACCCGCGUCUGAUUAGCUAGUUGGCAGGGUAACGGCCUACCAAGGCGACGAUCAGUAGCCGGCCUGAGAGGGUGAACGGCCACAUUGGGACUGAGACACGGCCCAAACUCCUACGGGAGGCAGCAGUGGGGAAUAUUGCACAAUGGGGGAAACCCUGAUGCAGCGACGCCGCGUGAGUGAAGAAGUAUUUCGGUAUGUAAAGCUCUAUCAGCAGGGAAGAAAAUGACGGUACCUGACUAAGAAGCCCCGGCUAACUACGUGCCAGCAGCCGCGGUAAUACGUAGGGGGCAAGCGUUAUCCGGAUUUACUGGGUGUAAAGGGAGCGUAGACGGCUUUGCAAGUCUGACGUGAAACUCCGGGGCUCAACUCCGGAACUGCGUUGGAAACUGUAAGGCUUGAGUGCCGGAGAGGUAAGCGGAAUUCCUAGUGUAGCGGUGAAAUGCGUAGAUAUUAGGAGGAACACCAGUGGCGAAGGCGGCUUACUGGACGGCAACUGACGUUGAGGCUCGAAAGCGUGGGGAGCAAACAGGAUUAGAUACCCUGGUAGUCCACGCGGUAAAC
This 646-nucleotide ribosomal RNA is filed under the name uncultured bacterium. RNAcentral's name for it is "bacterial SSU rRNA". It matches the Rfam family "Bacterial small subunit ribosomal RNA", at positions 143 to 807 of the family's 1533-position model. The record is from RNAcentral.